UUGUCCGGAGAGAAAUGGGUCGGGUCAAUACCUGGGGGCAAUGACGGUACCGGAAGAAUAAGGACCGGCUAACUGCGUGCCAGCAGCCGCGGUAAUACGUAGGGUCCAAGCGUUAAUCGGAAUUACUGGGCGUAAAGCGUGCGCAGGCGGUUGUGCAAGACCGAUGUGAAAUCCCCGAGCUUAACUUGGGAAUUGCAUUGGUGACUGCACGGCUAGAGUGUGUCAGAGGGGGGUAGAAUUCCACGUGUAGCAGUGAAAUGCGUAGAGAUGUGGAGGAAUACCGAUGGCGAAGGCAGCCCCCUGGGAUAACACUGACGCUCAUGCACGAAAGCGUGGGGAGCAAACAGGAUUAGAUACCCUGGUAGUCCACGCCCUAAACGAUGUCAACUAGUUGUUGGGGAUUCAUUUCCUUAGUAACGUAGCUAACGCGUGAAGUUGACCGCCUGGGGAGUACGGUCGCAAGAUUAAAACUCAA
RNAcentral lists this ribosomal RNA (475 nucleotides) under uncultured Ralstonia sp. RNAcentral's name for it is "bacterial SSU rRNA". It matches the Rfam family "Bacterial small subunit ribosomal RNA", at positions 434 to 904 of the family's 1533-position model. The record is from RNAcentral. Lineage: Bacteria; Pseudomonadati; Pseudomonadota; Betaproteobacteria; Burkholderiales; Burkholderiaceae.